CUUUUUAGUGUCUGCUACUCCUGAAGAGGGCCAAGUCUAUUCACAUUUAUAAUUCCUUCCUCGCCAGCCCUCCUUUCACGUCUGGGAGACUGAGCACAGAGGAAAUCUUGGAGCUCGUGUAGAUCAGUCAGUAGCUUUCAAAGUCUUUGUUAAAGUAAAAGAAACCUUUCCUGGAAAAAGAUUCCAAUACAUAAGAGAGGAAAGAAGAGUUCCCUUAACUGGGAACAGGGGCUCUCUCACCACACCCUUUCCUGGAUGCGCCUCCCUGUUCAACCAAUAACUUAGCCUGACUCUUCUUCUUAAAACUGAGGAAACAGCAGGCCCAGAGGAGGUAAAAGAGAGAGAAAAAAGAAUGGAGAAAAAUGAUCAGAAUAACAUGAAACACACCAAUGUACGUGUAAUGGGAGUAGCAGAAGGAAAGCAGAAGGGGAAAGGAGAAGAAAAAAUAUUUGUGGUAAUAAUGGUUGAAAAUUUCCCAAAUUUGAUUAAAAAACAGCUUUCAUCCACAUAUUCAAGAAACUCAUGCAGCUCAAAGUGGAUAAAAUGCAGGAAGAUUCACACCCAGAUAGAUCAUAGCCAAAAUGAUGAAAGCCAAAGAUGAAGAAAAGAUCUUAAAAACAGUAAGAGGAAAAUGACUCAUCACUUGCAAGGUAACCCCAGUAAUGUUAACAAUGAGCUUCUCACUGGAAACAAUGGAGGCCAGGAGGGAGUGGAACAACAUAUUUGAGAUGCUGAAAGCUUAAAAAAAUUAUCAACCAAAAGUUUUAUAUCCAGCAAAAAUGAAACAAAUACAUUCCAAGAUUGAAAAAAAAAAGAAAGAAAAGCAGCUUGGAGAAUUUGUUGUUAGAAGACCUGCCUUGAAAGAAACACUAGAGUUUUGAGAGUGAAAACGAGUUACGCCAGAUAGAAAUUUGAAUCCACAUCAAAAAACAAAGCAUGUCAAUAAAAGUAAUUAUGAUGGUAACUAUAAAAGAAAGUUUAAUUGCAUAGUUCUUUUCCUUUCUUUUCUUAACUAAUUUUAAAACUACUUGCAUAACACAAUAUGUAGAUAAUUUUGUUGUUGGAAUGCAACUUAUACAAAUGUAGUAUAUUUGGAAAUAAUAUCACAAAAGAGGCAGGCAGGAACAAAGUUGUGUUGGAAUAAGGAAGUGACAUCAUAUGGUAAUGCAAGUUCACUGGAAGAAAUGAAGGGAAUCAGAGAUGAUAAAUAAGAAGAUUAAUAUAGCAAACUUCAAAUAUAUACUUGCACUCCUGUCUUCUUUGAGCACCUUUGAAUGACAGAAGAUUAUACAAGGUAAUAAGUUUUCAUUGUUGGGUUUGUGACACAUACAGCAAUACUGAGUAUAACAAAAUAGUACACACACGGGGUGUAGGAAUGGACCUAUACAGGAGUAAAGUUUCUAUAUUUCACUAGCAUUAAGUUAGCAUACAUCUGAAACAGAUUCUGAUAAGUUAGGAUGUAUAUUGCACGCCCUAGAGCAACUGCUAAAAGGUGACUCAAAAAAUAUCAUUAUCAGUAAAAAUUAUUAAAAGAGGGGCUGGCACCGUGGCUGAGUGGUUAAGUUCAAGCGCUCCGCUGCAGGCAGCCCAGUGUUUCAUUGGUUCGACUCCUGGGCGUGGACAUGGCACUGCUCAUCAAACCACGCUGAGGCAGCGUCCCACAUGCCACAACUAGAAGGACCCACAACGAAGAAUAUACACCUAUGUACCGGGGGGCUUUGGGGAGAAAAAGGAAAAAAAAUUAUUAAAAGAAUUAAGAUGUUACACUAGAAAAUACCCACUUAAAACAAAAGAAACUGGUAAUAAAGGAGUAGAGAAACAACCCCCUCCCCCCAUGAGACAUACGGAAAACAAAAAAGCAAAAUGGUGGAUGUAAAUCCAAAUCCGUGCACAUCAGUAAGCGUGAAGGGAUUAAACCGUCCAACCAAAAGGAAGAGAUUUUUAGGUUGGAUAGAAAAACAGGGUCCAAUUACGUGCUGUCUACAGGAGACACACUUUAGAUGCAAAGAUGCAAAAAGGUGGAAAGUAAAAGGACAUAAACUGAUAUGUCAUGCAAACAGCAAUCGUAAGACACCUGGAGUGGCAAUACUAAUAUUAGACUUUAAAAUUAACUUUAAAAAAGGUUGCUAGUGAUAAAGAGAGACAUUUCAUAAUGAUAAAAGAGACAAUAUAUUGGAAUGACAUAACAUUUAUAAACAUAUGCACUUAAAAAUAGGGCCCGAAAUACAUGAAGCAAAAAUGUCAGAAUGGAAGGGAGAAAUAGACAAUACAACAAUAGUAGGAGGAGAUUUCAAUACCUCACUUACAAUAAUGGAUAGAACAACUAAGCAAAAGAUUAACAAGCGAACAGAACAUUUGAACAGCACUAUAAACCAAUUCAAGCUAACAGACAUCUAUAGAACACGACCAAAUAACAGCGGAGCACACAUUCUUCUCAAGUCCACGGGGAACAGUCUCCAACACAGACUGUAUUUUAGGCCCAAAUCAUCCUCAAUAAUUUGAAAAGGAUUGAAAUCAUACAAAAUAUGUUCUCCAACCAUAAUGGGAUGAGAUGAGAAAUCAAUAACAGAAGGAAAA
Long non-coding RNA from Equus caballus (horse), 2577 nucleotides. The record is from Ensembl. NCBI's taxonomy places the organism in Eukaryota, Metazoa, Chordata, Mammalia, Perissodactyla, Equidae.